UACCAUAAACGGAGGUAGCAACAUGUAUUUUACGCAUUUCAAAUCAUAAAUAUCAUGUAUUUUCACUAUGUAAUCAUGCGUUACAAAUAAUAAUCGUGGAAAUAAACAAGAGAAGAGAGAGUAAAGUAGACAACCUAACCACUACCAGAUUCCAAAACACGAACAAGACUAAACGAGUCGUCGUCGGUCACGUCAANNN
This 199-nucleotide long non-coding RNA is filed under the name Oryza brachyantha (malo sina). RNAcentral's name for it is "long non-coding RNA (OBRA_LNC001266)". The record is from RNAcentral. Lineage: Eukaryota; Viridiplantae; Streptophyta; Magnoliopsida; Poales; Poaceae.